This 433-nucleotide ribosomal RNA is filed under the name uncultured bacterium. RNAcentral's name for it is "partial 16S ribosomal RNA". It matches the Rfam family "Bacterial small subunit ribosomal RNA", at positions 29 to 507 of the family's 1533-position model. The record is from RNAcentral.
AGUGAACGCUGGCGGCAGGCCUAACACAUGCAAGUCGAACGAACACUUCGGAGUCAGUGGCGGACGGGUGAGUAACCCGUGGGAACGUGACCUUUGGUUCGGAAUAACUCAGGGAAACUUGUGAUAAUACCGAAUGUGCCCUAAGGGGGAAAGAUUUAUCGCCACUGGAGCGGCAAGAGUCUGAUUAGCUAGUUGGUGUGGUAAUGGCUCACCAAGGCGACGAUCAGUACCUGGUUUGAGAGAAUGACCAGCCACACUUGGACUGAGACACGGCCCGGACUCCUACGGGAGGGAGCAGUGGGUAAUCUAGCGCAAUGGGGGAAGGCCUGACGCAGCCAUGCCGCUUGAAUGAUGAAAGUCGUAGGAUUGUAAAAUUCUUUCACCGGGGACGAUAAUGACGGUACCCGGAGAAGAAGCCCCGGCUAACUUCGUG